RNAcentral lists this long non-coding RNA (1044 nucleotides) under Marmota monax (woodchuck). Lineage: Eukaryota; Metazoa; Chordata; Mammalia; Rodentia; Sciuridae. The record is from RNAcentral.
UAUACAUGACAGCAGAAUGUAUUUCGUUUCAUUGUAUACAAAUGGAACACAACUUUUCAUUUCUCUGGUUGUAAGCGAUGCGGAGUCGCACCAUUUGUGCAAUCAUACAUAUAUUUAGGAUAAUAAUUUCUAUCUCAUUCCACCAUCUUACCUACCCCCAUGCUCCCUCCCCUCCCCUCUCUCCUUUGCCCCAUCUCAGUUCCUUCAUUCUUCCCAUACCCCCUCCCCCCCAUUAUGGAUCAGCAUCCACUUAUCAGAAAGAACAUUUGGUCUUUUUUUUUAGGGGAUUGGCUUACUAUGCUUAGCAUGAUAUUCUCUAACUCCAUCCAUUUACUUGAAAAUGCCAUAAUUUUAUUCUAUUUUAAUGCUAAGUAAUAUUCCAUUGAGUAUAUAUACCACAGUUUCUUUAUCCAUUCAUCUACUGAAGGGCAUCUAGAUUGGUUCUAUAAUUUAGCUAUUGUGAAUUGAGCUGCUAUAAACAUUGAUGUGGCUGCAUUACUAUAGUAUGCUGAUUUUAAAUCCUUUGGGUAUAGACCAUGGAAUGGGAUAGCUGUCUUGAAUGGUGGUUCCAUUCCAAGUUUUCUAAGGAAUCUCCAUACUGCUUUCCAGAUUGGUUGCAUCAAUUUGUAGUCCCACCAGCAAUGUGUGAGUGUGCCUUUUUUUAAAAAAAAUUUCUUGUUUAGUUGUAGGUGAACACAAUGCCUUUAUUUUAUUUAUUGUUAUUUUUUUUAAUGUGGUGCUGAGGAUCGAACCCAGUGCCUCACAUGUACAAGGCAAGUGUUCUACCACUGAACUACAACCACAGCCCUAUGUGAGUGUACCUUUCCCCCCACAUUCCCACCAACACUUAUUGUUGCCUGUAUUCAUGAUAAUUGCCAUUCUGACUGGACUGAGAUGAAAUCUUAGAGUAUUUUUGAUUUUCAUUUCUCUAAUUGCUACAGAUGUUGAACAUUUUUUUCAUAUACUUGUUGAUCGAUUGUAUAUCUUCUGAGAAGUGUCUGUUGAGUUUCUUAGUCCAUUUAUUGAUUGGGUUAUUUUUUUUUU